Small nuclear RNA from Callithrix jacchus (white-tufted-ear marmoset), 138 nucleotides. Its record names the gene U4. It matches the Rfam family "U4 spliceosomal RNA". From Rfam's summary of the family: U4 small nuclear RNA (U4 snRNA) is a component of the major U2-dependent spliceosome. The structure of U4 snRNA from yeast and human has been reported. U4 snRNA presents a k-turn RNA motif in the 5p-SL related to recognition of Snu13 protein. Lineage: Eukaryota; Metazoa; Chordata; Mammalia; Primates; Cebidae. The record is from Ensembl.
AGCUUUGCGCAGGGACAGCGUUGUAGCCUGUGAGGGUUAUCCGAGGCGCGAUUAUUGCUAAUUGAAAACUCCCAAUACCCUACCAUGAUGACUUGAAGUAUAGUCGGCCCUGGCAAUUUUUGCCAGUCUCUAUGGAGG